RNAcentral lists this ribosomal RNA (194 nucleotides) under uncultured eukaryote. RNAcentral describes it as "partial 18S ribosomal RNA". It matches the Rfam family "Eukaryotic small subunit ribosomal RNA", at positions 1 to 193 of the family's 1831-position model. The record is from RNAcentral.
GAAACCUGGUUGAUCCUGCCAGUAGUCAUAUGCUUGUCUCAAAGAUUAAGCCAUGCAUGUCUAAGUAUAAGCCUUUGUACGGCGAAACUGCGAAUGGCUCAUUAAAACAGUUAUAGUUUAUUCGAUAAUCAAUUGCUACAUGGAUAACUGUAGUAAUUCUAGAGCUAAUACAUGCGUAAGAACCCAACUUUACG